UUAGUGGCGGACGGGUGAGUAACGCGUGGAUAACCUGCCGUAUACAGGGGGAGUAACACUUAGAAAUAGGUGCUAAUACCGCAUAAGCGCACGGUUCCGCAUGGAACAGUGUGAAAAACUCCGGUGGUAUACGAUGGAUCCGCGUCUGAUUAGCCAGUUGGCGGGGUAACGGCCCACCAAAGCGACGAUCAGUAGCCGGCCUGAGAGGGUGAACGGCCACAUUGGGACUGAGACACGGCCCAAACUCCUACGGAAGGCAGCAG
This 263-nucleotide ribosomal RNA is filed under the name uncultured bacterium. RNAcentral's name for it is "partial 16S ribosomal RNA". It matches the Rfam family "Bacterial small subunit ribosomal RNA", at positions 92 to 354 of the family's 1533-position model. The record is from RNAcentral.